Molecule: ribosomal RNA, 424 nt
Filed under: uncultured bacterium
Lineage: Bacteria
Description: bacterial SSU rRNA
Rfam family: Bacterial small subunit ribosomal RNA
Source: RNAcentral
GGGCCCGCACAAGCGGUGGAGCAUGUGGUUUAAUUCGAUGAUACGCGAGGAACCUUACCAGGGCUUAAAUGUAGUGGGACAGGUCUAGAGAUAGACCCUUCUUCGGACUCAUUACAAGGUGCUGCAUGGUUGUCGUCAGCUCGUGCCGUGAGGUGUCAGGUUAAGUCCUAUAACGAGCGCAACCCCUAUCGUUAGUUGCCAGCGGGUAAUGUUGGGCACUCUAGCGAGACUGCCGGUGCAAACCGCGAGGAAGGUGGGGAUGACGUCAAAUCAUCACGGCCCUUACGUCCUGGGCUACACACGUGCUACAAUGGUCGGUACAGAGAGCAGCCACUACGCGAGUAGGAGCGAAUCUAUAAAACCGAUCUCAGUUCGGAUCGCAGUCUGCAACUCGACUGCGUGAAGCUGGAAUCGCUAGUAAUCG